Molecule: ribosomal RNA, 502 nt
Filed under: uncultured Glomus
Lineage: Eukaryota; Fungi; Glomeromycota; Glomeromycetes; Glomerales; Glomeraceae
Description: SSU rRNA
Rfam family: Eukaryotic small subunit ribosomal RNA
Source: RNAcentral
AGCAGCCGCGGUAAUUCCAGCUCCAAUAGCGUAUAUUAAAGUUGUUGCAGUUAAAAAGCUCGUAGUUGAAUUUCGGGGUUAGCAGGUCGGUCGUGCCAUCGGUAUGAACUGGUCUCGCUGAUCCCUCCCUCUUGACGAACUGUGAUGCCAUUAAUUUGGUGUCGCAGGGAAUCAGGACUGUUACUUUGAAAAAUUAGAGUGUUUAAAGCAGGCUCACGCUUGAAUACAUUAGCAUGGAAUAAUGAAAUAGGACGUUUGAUCCUAUUUUGUUGGCUUCUAGGAUUGACGUAAUGAUUAAUAGGGAUAGUUGGGGGCAUUAGUAUUCAAUUGUCAGAGGUGAAAUUCUUGGAUUUAUUGAAGACUAACUACUGCGAAAGCAUUUGCCAAGGAUGUUUUCAUUAAUCAAGAACGAAAGUUAGGGGAUCGAAGACGAUCAGAUACCGUCGUAGUCUUAACCAUAAACUAUGCCUACUAGGGAUCGGAUGAUGUUAAUUUUUAAUGA